RNAcentral lists this long non-coding RNA (642 nucleotides) under Heterocephalus glaber (naked mole-rat). RNAcentral describes it as "lncRNA (ENSHGLG00100027623.2)". The record is from RNAcentral. Lineage: Eukaryota; Metazoa; Chordata; Mammalia; Rodentia; Bathyergidae.
GUUUCACAAGAGAACACCAGCACCACCCGAGUGAGUGAGGAAGUCUAAAGCUGCAAGCACUCUCACAAGAGUGAGGGGGAGGGUGCAGUUCAGGAAGGUUAACGGGCCAAGAAUUAGGAGAGGGUCCUCUGCUCCUUUGUUAGAGAGGAAGACAGGCUGAAGAGUCAGCUUCAUGUGCAGAGUCCGUUACUUCCGUUGUAGCUUUGGGCAUGUUUAUUCUCUGUGCCUCAGUUUCUCCUCUGUACAAAUAAGUACCCAUCUCACAGCAUUCCAAGUUUGAACUGAGCUGCUAAUGGGCUAGAACAGUGCCGGCUACAUAGGGGAAAAGUCGUUUUGGAGAUGGAAGUGAUUGGCUGGGCCUGCUGGGAGGAGAACGCAUCAGGGACUUCUUUAUGAGGCUUCCCUCCCACAGCUUUAAAGGGUGAAACCCAAGAAGCACCUUCUAUCGAUACAAGCAGAGGGUAUGGAGUAAACUCACAAGCCCAGGAUCAAGCAUGAUUGAAAUGAAUUCUCUGGGAAGUCAAAACAGGAUGAAAUGACAAAGGCCACACAAUAUUCUAGACUUCUGCGCCUACAGGUGUUGAUCCUAACAGCACUGCCUGCCCGCUGAUCCCGGAGUCUGCUUCCUGGGAUCCAAGCCAU